RNAcentral lists this ribosomal RNA (74 nucleotides) under Serratia marcescens. RNAcentral describes it as "partial 16S ribosomal RNA". The stretch from base 1 to 66 matches the Rfam family "Bacterial small subunit ribosomal RNA", at positions 1468 to 1533 of the family's 1533-position model. The record is from RNAcentral. Lineage: Bacteria; Pseudomonadati; Pseudomonadota; Gammaproteobacteria; Enterobacterales; Yersiniaceae.
UUCAUGACUGGGGUGAAGUCGUAACAAGGUAACCGUAGGGGAACCUGCGGUUGGAUCACCUCCUUACCUAAAGA